RNAcentral lists this ribosomal RNA (797 nucleotides) under Inocybe magnifolia. RNAcentral describes it as "eukaryotic LSU rRNA". It matches the Rfam family "Eukaryotic large subunit ribosomal RNA", at positions 196 to 979 of the family's 3401-position model. Lineage: Eukaryota; Fungi; Basidiomycota; Agaricomycetes; Agaricales; Inocybaceae. The record is from RNAcentral.
UGGAGCAUCAUAGAGGGUGAGAAUCCCGUCUUUGACAUGGACUUCCUGUACAUGAUGGUGUGCUCUCAAAGAGUCGAGUUGUUUGGGAAUGCAGCUCAAAAUGGGUGGUAAAUGCCAUCUAAAGCUAAAUACUGGCGAGAGACCGAUAGCGAACAAGUACCGUGAGGGAAAGAUGAAAAGAACUUUGGAAAGAGAGUUAAACAGUACGUGAAAUUGCUGAAAGGGAAACGCUUGAAGUCAGUCGCGUUAGCCAGAGAUCAGCCUUGCUCUUGCUUGGUGUAUUAUCUGGUUGAUGGGUCAGCAUCAAUUUUGACCAUUGGAUAAAGUCUUUGGGAAUGUGGCAUCUUUUGGAUGUGUUAUAGCCCAUUGUUGCAUACAGUGGUUGGGAUUGAGGAACUCAGCACGCUGCAAAGGCCGGGUUUUUGACCACGUUCGUGCUUAGGAUGCUGGCAUAAUGGCUUUAAUCGACCCGUCUUGAAACACGGACCAAGGAGUCUAACAUGCCUGCAAGUGUUUAGGUGGCAAACCUAUGCGCGUAAUGAAAGUGAAAGUUGAGAUCCCUGUAAGGGGGAGCAUUGAUGCCUGGACCAGACCUUUUGUGAUGGAUCCACGGUAGAGCAUGUAUGUUGGGACCCGAAAGAUGGUGAACUAUGCCUGAAUAGGGUGAAGCCAGAGGAAACUCUGGUGGAGGCUCGUAGCGAUUCUGACGUGCAAAUCGAUCGUCAAAUUUGGGUAUAGGGGCGAAAGACUAAUCGAACCAUCUAGUAGCUGGUUCCUGCCGAAUUUUCCCUCAGGAA